CUUUCUUCCUUAACUAUACCCAGUGUCUUUUAAGUUUCCUAAGGGACGAUUGAAGGGUGGGGGUCGACAGUCAGAUGCCAGAGCAGCUAGCGGUGGUGGUGCAGCAACGGCUAGAGGCAGUGUUUUGGCCGAUGGUGAUAGGGUAGCCAAGAGAAAAAGAAGAAAAGGGGCACUACCCCUUAUGCCACGACUAUGGUAUCUU
RNAcentral lists this long non-coding RNA (202 nucleotides) under Elaeis guineensis (African oil palm). Its description in RNAcentral is "long non-coding RNA (EGUI_LNC061122)". The record is from RNAcentral. Lineage: Eukaryota; Viridiplantae; Streptophyta; Magnoliopsida; Arecales; Arecaceae.